GGCUCAAUCACACAUUGUAAGAGAGAAAAAACAAGGAGAGGACACAGCAGUGAAACCAGCAAGCUGGCACUUGUUAGUGACUGUUUGAAAGGAAGGGAAAUCAAAAUUCCAGUAAGAAAUCAGUGACCUGACAAAGCACAGACACCAAGCAGCAGCAGAGGACAGCCUGGGGAGGGUCCUGUGCAGUUCCACUUCAGCUGAGGUCAGAAUGCAGAGCAGCACCACAUGCGGCAGCAGGACUGUGUACACAUGGGCACAUGCAUGUUUCUGCCCAAGUCCCCACUCCUGAUAGGAGAUGGAUAAAUAGAAGUGACCCAGAGGUCUGGGGUUACAUCUGCUUAGACUCAAUGACUCGAAAUCCAUUUCAGGCUCCUUAGCGGCCCCAUUCAGCACAGUCAUGCUGGAGCCAGGAUAUGAAGGGCACCUGUCAGGGCUAUUUCAGGAACCAGAGGCCUCCCUCCCCUCCAUGCUGAGCUCACGUUGUAUCAGAUGAGGUCUGCUGGAGCAGUGUGCAUGGAAAGUCUGGUUUUCAGUGAGAAGUCUGGAUGACAAAGUGACUUUCCAAGCCCCCUUGUCACUGACAGCUCCAGCUCUGACCAUGACACCAGGAUACAGACAGGAGCAACCAGGCUCGCUCUUCAAUGAAGGCUAUUUCUGCAAAUACCUCAUCUUUACUCUUUCUAAUUGCUGCCACAGGCUUCAGUACCCCCUCAGCAUGACCUGAGCUGACCUCAGGCACCUCCACACGGCCAUAUGGGCUCCAGCACAGCCUGUCCCUGUCCCUGCAGGGCCAUGGUAAUAGAGCCUGCAGCCAGAGCACACUUGGCUUGAUCCAGAACAGCCUGGAGGAGAAGAUAAAUAAAGGAGGGACAAAGUGUUUUAACACAGGAGACAAAAUAAACAUGUUAAGUGCUCUAUAUGCAAAAGCAGGAGGAAUCCCACUGCCUCAGGAAUGUUCCUGCUGUGACUUGAAUGUGGUACAAACCCUCUUCAAACGCUUCAUCACUGAAUGUUUCUCUGCAAAUCCUGCUUGCCAGGGCAGGGGAAGUCUCUGUCACACAGCCAGCUCCUCACCAACAAGCUUUGGAGAUCUCAGCCCAAUCUGUGCAGAUCCACAUUUUCAUUAUGAAUUUCACCGACAGCCACAGACAAAAAGAAAAGAAAACAAAUAGCCCAGCCCCAUCCCUCCCCCAAAACCAGCCCUGGUGCACCAGGACCAUGCAGCUGAGGGGUGAACCUUCAUCAGAUCCCAUGGAGACCAAAACGGAGCGGUCUGUGAGUUUUAAGUUCUCCCU
Molecule: long non-coding RNA, 1295 nt
Filed under: Coturnix japonica (Japanese quail)
Lineage: Eukaryota; Metazoa; Chordata; Aves; Galliformes; Phasianidae
Description: lncRNA (ENSCJPG00005008817.1)
Source: RNAcentral